UACAGAGGUCUCAAGCGUUGUUCGGAUUCAUUGGGCGUAAAGGGUGCGUAGGCGGUCGGGUAAGUCAGAUGUGAAAUUCCGUGGCUCAACCUCGGAACUGCAUUUGAUACUGCUUGGCUAGAGUCUUAUAGAGGAGACUGGAAUUUACGGUGUAGCAGUGAAAUGCGUAGAUAUCGUAAGGAAGACCGGUUGCGGAAGCGAGUCUCUGGAUAAUGGCUGACGCUGAGGCACGAAGGCUAGGGGAGCAAACGGG
This 253-nucleotide ribosomal RNA is filed under the name uncultured bacterium. RNAcentral describes it as "partial 16S ribosomal RNA". It matches the Rfam family "Bacterial small subunit ribosomal RNA", at positions 524 to 776 of the family's 1533-position model. The record is from RNAcentral.